UGGUACCUCUGAAAUGAAAUAAUAACUGAGCCACGGGCUUUGUGUUUCAGGGCUGCUGGAACCACGGGCAAUACAAAGAAUGAAAAUAGCAACUCGAAAACAAAUUCCACAGUUCUUUCCAUGAGUUUGCAAAAGUCUACACAUGGAGAGAUGUGAUAGGUUAUAUUACAACAAUUCAGUGGGCUAAAGAAAAAGUUUAAUUUCUGCUGAUAUUGCAUAUCCAACAAGGACUGGAAGAGGGAAUCUUCACUUUGGACCCUAAAAGGUCCAGCCUGAUUUUGAAAUUUGAAGACAAAUUGAUAGGUGGAAACACGAUUCAAGAGAAGGUGAACACACCAUUGUUACUACAGACAGAAGGUGGAUUGAGGGAAGAGUGGCUUAUUUAAUUGGUGAAUUUUAGAGAAGAAAUUGAGAAUGUCUGCUACUUUUCAUCCCUCCUGAAACUACUACUAUUUUUAGAGGUGCCUAACAUGUUGACCUGCUCUUUGGUAGGUGGUAAACUUGCCUUGCAAACUCUUCUGCAAGAAAGGCUUGGGAUCUUUCAGUUUAGUUUAUAACUGACUAGAUUUAUCAGUCCAGAUUGGCUAGGUUAUGCUGGGUAACAAACAACACCAACAUUCUAGUAGAUUUUAAAUAAAGGUUUAACUUCUGCUUCUGCUUAUACUGCUUGUCCAACAAGUGUGAGUAGAGACACAGCCUGAUGGAGACUUAAUCUUAACAUUCUCAACUAUGAUUACCAAAGCAGAAAAAUAAAACACAUUAAAUCACAUGCUGGCUUAUGAAAGCCUCCAUCUUUAAGUGACAUGUGCACUCUCGUUCAUAGUUCAUUGGCCAA
Molecule: long non-coding RNA, 835 nt
Filed under: Pan paniscus (pygmy chimpanzee)
Lineage: Eukaryota; Metazoa; Chordata; Mammalia; Primates; Hominidae
Description: lncRNA (ENSPPAG00000045641.1)
Source: RNAcentral